RNAcentral lists this non-coding RNA (28 nucleotides) under Rattus norvegicus (Norway rat). Lineage: Eukaryota; Metazoa; Chordata; Mammalia; Rodentia; Muridae. The record is from RNAcentral.
UAUCAGUCACAUAAGGUCUCAACUUCUC